Molecule: long non-coding RNA, 1945 nt
Filed under: Sinocyclocheilus grahami
Lineage: Eukaryota; Metazoa; Chordata; Actinopteri; Cypriniformes; Cyprinidae
Description: lncRNA (ENSSGRG00000028123.1)
Source: RNAcentral
CAGUACUGAAUGAUGUUUAACAUGACAGUUCUGUGUUUCUAUCACACAGAGGAACAGAGAUGUUGAGGGGGGACGAGGAUCUGUGCUUCUGUCAGAAAGUGAAUUUAUUGAUCAGAAUGGAAUUGCUUUCCCAGUUCCUCCAGACGUUGAGAGGAAAUCUGCUAAACAGUCUGCACGAGAGCGACGCAGACUAGCAAACCUGCAGUCUGCAGAGAGGAAGCCAGUGCAGCUGCAGUCCUUCAAUAUGAGGAAGUACAGAGACACAAACACUCCCAGGAUGAAGGAACUACAAGCCUUCAGCCAUCACACCGCCACAGCAGGAGACUCUGAUGAUGAUGAUGAAGCAAAUGGUGGUGAUGAGCAUUUUACCCUGCAGUCUCCAGGCAGGCCCAGCUCUAUUGAUACAGCCACUACCGAGCACUGGAUUCGAGCGGAGUCAUCAGACACACUCAGGAGGCUGAUGUCCGCCUCUGAACUUUAAGACGGACCAUUACAUACAUGACCGCACUGUGUGAGCUUGUUAUUGCAAUGCAGUAUAUAUAGGAUAUUUUAUGUAGUCUUCAGAUCUCUUAAAUAAAAGGAUGAUCAGCAGAAUCUCUACGAGAUCAACUGCUUUAACUGCAUCACAAAAUCUCUUCUGUAAACUGAUCUGUGGAUCCAUGAUAUCAAGGGGUUCUUUUUAACAAAGAACAGAGGGAAUGAUACAUUUCUAAUCUUUUUGUGGUAUUUUUUUUCCCAAGACAUAAAUACUAGCAUUUUGACAGAUUUUGAAAGUGUUUUUACACCAGGAUCACCUGCUCACACCAAGGAUGAUAAUAACUAUAAUGAUGAAGUUUUAAAAAUCGUUCAGAAUUUUAAAAUUUAAAUAGCUUAAUCCACACAUCUAUUGCAUGACAGUGGCACUUUCAGAUGAUUUUUUUUCCAACCGAUGAAUGCUUGACAGCCAAUCAGAAUCCACCUGAAAUUAAAGAGCUUGAGCAUAUAAAACGGCAGAUGAUUGUCCGUUGGUGUGGACACUGAUUGUGAACAGCCCUUUAGAGUGAAUGGCAUGUGUGAGAGAAGCAUAUAGUACUCACUCAGUGCAAAACCUGCUCUUAUUUGAACCAUUUCGAGACCGCAGACAGACCACGGCUAACAAAGCCCGGCAAGAUCAAUUCUGCUGUGGCUGAUACCAUCCAUAAUCCGGCUGACUAUGGAUGGUUUUGACUUUUCUUCUUUAUGCAUUUCUGAUCUUAAGCGGUAAAUCUGCCUCUGCAUCUGGGAGGCUUGCUCCUGUAAACCCUUCUGUAGAAGAGCAUCCUUCUCCUGCAAUACAACACAAAACCGCCACAAGUGAAAGAAUUGCUCUUUGUUUCAUGACUGCAUGUUAUUUUUAAUCUUUAUCAGCAUUAAAGAUGUUGAUCAGUGCUGUUGUGACCAUCUGCUAAGCAUGCAUGUGUGAACUGUACCAUUAUUUGUGAGUGUGUUCUUGCUCUGUAGUCAUUGGUCAGAUGUCUGAGCAUGUCUCUGUACUGUCGGUAUCCUCCAGAUCUCAGGAAUGAUCCAUCAAAAACACAUUUUUCCAGUGUAUCAAACACUUCACGCAGAACAGCUUUACACUGCUUGAUAGAUUCUUCUGCUGAUAUUCAUCAUACAUUUUCCCCUAAAACAAAUGAAAGAAACAGAGAAAAUGUGAUGAACUGUUAAAUUUGUACUCUACGUUUGCAUAGACACUGUUUAUUUGAGCUUUUUGUGUCAGCAGGUACUGUACCAUGAGCUCUUGUUGGUAGAUCUGGUCAUUGUCAUUGAAGGACAUGGAGAUGAAAACUUCAACUGCUUUCUUCUCUGCAAUUUUGUGGAUGUCAGACAGUUCUUCUGGGCGCAUAGGAAGCUGAGCCAUGCUGAGCACCUCUGUCAUGUAGAACUGCAGAAUGAAUGCAGCCUGGAUGAGCAUUCUUUUUAGUAA